Molecule: microRNA precursor, 88 nt
Filed under: Komagataella phaffii GS115
Lineage: Eukaryota; Fungi; Ascomycota; Pichiomycetes; Pichiales; Pichiaceae
Description: microRNA mir-598
Source: RNAcentral
GGAUGCCGAUGACGAUGAUGAUGAUGAUGACGAUGAUGACGAAACGACCUCUUCCACAUCUUCCACUUCAUCAUCCUCAUCGAGUUCU